Molecule: long non-coding RNA, 153 nt
Organism: Etheostoma cragini (Arkansas darter)
Lineage: Eukaryota; Metazoa; Chordata; Actinopteri; Perciformes; Percidae
Exons: 3
Source: RefSeq, a predicted model, not a curated record
UUGAAAAACAGCAAUAAGUAUGGUCUAGACCAGGGGGGUUUCAAACCUUUUGUGUGUGUGGCCCACUAUUUGUAAUCAAGAAUGUUUGCAGACCACCUCAUAAUACACACAAUAUGUCUACACACAGUCCUACCUGAAUUAAUAUGCACCUUU